RNAcentral lists this ribosomal RNA (376 nucleotides) under uncultured Gammaproteobacteria bacterium. RNAcentral's name for it is "bacterial SSU rRNA". It matches the Rfam family "Bacterial small subunit ribosomal RNA", at positions 521 to 896 of the family's 1533-position model. Lineage: Bacteria; Pseudomonadati; Pseudomonadota; Gammaproteobacteria. The record is from RNAcentral.
UAAUACGGAGGGUCCGAGCGUUAAUCGGAAUUACUGGGCGUAAAGCGCACGCAGGCGGUUUGUUAAGCUAGAUGUGAAAGCCCCGGGCUCAACCUGGGAAUAGCAUUUAGAACUGGCAGGCUAGAGUCUUGGAGAGGGGAGUGGAAUUUCUGGUGUAGCGGUGAAAUGCGUAGAUAUCAGAAGGAACAUCAGUGGCGAAGGCGACUCCCUGGCCAAAGACUGACGCUCAUGUGCGAAAGUGUGGGUAGCGAACAGGAUUAGAUACCCUGGUAGUCCACACCGUAAACGCUGCCUACUAGCUGUUUGUGGAUUUAAUCCGUGAGUAGCGAAGCUAACGCGAUAAGUAGACCGCCUGGGGAGUACGGCCGCAAGGUUA